Molecule: ribosomal RNA, 468 nt
Filed under: uncultured bacterium
Lineage: Bacteria
Description: partial 16S ribosomal RNA
Rfam family: Bacterial small subunit ribosomal RNA
Source: RNAcentral
GACGAACGCUGGCGGCGUGCUUAACACAUGCAAGUCGAACGGAAAGGCCCGGCUUUUGUGGGGUGCUCGAGUGGCGAACGGGUGAGUAACACGUGAGUAACCUGCCCUUGACUUUGGGAUAACUUCAGGAAACUGGGGCUAAUACCGGAUAGGAGCUCCUGCUGCAUGGUGGGGGUUGGAAAGUUUCGGCGGUUGGGGAUGGACUCGCGGCUUAUCAGCUUGUUGGUGGGGUAGUGGCUUACCAAGGCUUUGACGGGUAGCCGGCCUGAGAGGGUGACCGGCCACAUUGGGACUGAGAUACGGCCCAGACCCCUACGGGAGGCAGCAGUGGGGAAGAUUGCACAAUGGGCGGAAGCCUGAUGCAGCAACGCCGCGUGCGGGAUGACGGCCUUCGGGUUGUAAACCGCUUUCGCCUGUGACGAAGCGUGAGUGACGGUAAUGGGUAAAGAAGCACCGGCUAACUACGUG